GACGAACGCUGGCGGCGUGCCUAAUACAUGCAAGUUGAGCGCUGAAGGUUGGUACUUGUACCAACUGGAUGAGCAGCGAACGGGUGAGUAACGCGUGGGGAAUCUGCCUUUGAGCGGGGGACAACAUUUGGAAACGAAUGCUAAUACCGCAUAAAAACUUUAAACACAAGUUUUAAGUUUGAAAGAUGCAAUUGCAUCACUCAAAGAUGAUCCCGCGUUGUAUUAGCUAGUUGGUGAGGUAAAGGCUCACCAAGGCGAUGAUACAUAGCCGACCUGAGAGGGUGGUCGGCCACAUUGGGACUGAGACACGGCCCAAACUCCUACGGGAAGCAGCAGUAGGGAAUCUUCGGCAAUGGACGAAAGUCUGACCAAGCAACGCCGCGUGAGUGAAGAAGGUUUUCGGAUCGUAAAACUCUGUUGGUAGAGAAGAACGUUGGUGAGAGUGGAAAGCUCAUCAAGUGACGGUAACUACCCAGAAAGGAACGGCUAACUACGUG
Molecule: ribosomal RNA, 497 nt
Filed under: uncultured bacterium
Lineage: Bacteria
Description: partial 16S ribosomal RNA
Rfam family: Bacterial small subunit ribosomal RNA
Source: RNAcentral